RNAcentral lists this long non-coding RNA (701 nucleotides) under Mytilus galloprovincialis (Mediterranean mussel). Lineage: Eukaryota; Metazoa; Mollusca; Bivalvia; Mytilida; Mytilidae. The record is from RNAcentral.
GUUCCGUCUUACUGUGUUGAAGACCCAUUAUUGUUCGUGGGCUGUUUUCUGCUCCUUGGUCGCGGGUUGUUGUCUGUUAGACAAAUUCCCCGUUCCCUUUUCCAAUUUUAUCCAUUAGGUAUUUUACAUUUGUUUGUUGACUUGUUGGAUCCUUCUUCAAAUAUCCCCUCCAAUAAUUAUCCAUCAACCGUUUUACGUUGGCUCAGCUUGACCUCUUGGGCGAUUUAAAGCUGUACCAUUCAAUGAUAUACUAUCCAGGGUGCAGCAUUUCGUCCGUAACAAGGUCAAUAGUGUUUCCGAUGUAAUAUCCUUGGUGAAGUGAAACAAUGAUUGAAACUAAAUGCUUCUAUCGAUAUUCAUCUAUUAUAGCGAAACACUUAAUUGUGCAUAUUUUCCCAACCAUUUCUGCGAAUUAUUGGUUCAUUAAUAGGAAUUAAUAGCGUCAGGAAAAUGACCUAUUUAUAUUAAAUUUUUGUUUAAUCUACGAUAAAAAGUAGUAGGAGUUUAUCGCGUGUAUAUAUUCAAACGUAUGAAUAAAUUAUCAAUAAGCACUUAAUGCAGCAUAGAGGAGAAGUUUGGAAACAAUAGCCUAUAUACAAUAGCAAGUCUGCUCACUAUUGCUGGAUUCGAUUUAACUACACUGAAAUUGUUUUCUCACAUGUUUCAAGUAAAACGCAGCUUUGACGAAUUUUCCAUUUCUU